AGUGAACGCUGGCGGUAGGCCUAACACAUGCAAGUCGAACGGCAGCACAGUAAGAGCUUGCUCUUACGGGUGGCGAGUGGCGGACGGGUGAGGAAUACAUCGGAAUCUACUUUUUCGUGGGGGAUAACGUAGGGAAACUUACGCUAAUACCGCAUACGACCUACGGGUGAAAGCAGGGGAUCUUCGGACCUUGCGCGAUUGAAUGAGACGAUGUCGGAUUAGCUAGUUGGCGGGGUAAAGGCCCACCAAGGCGACGAUCCGUAGCUGGUCUGAGAGGAUGAUCAGCCACACUGGAACUGAGACACGGUCCAGACUCCUACGGGAGGCAGCAGUGGGGAAUAUUGGACAAUGGGCGCAAGCCUGAUCCAGCCAUACCGCGUGGGUGAAGAAGGCCUUCGGGUUGUAAAGCCCUUUUGUUGGGAAAGAAAAGCAGCAGGUUAAUACCCCGCUGUUCUGACGGUACCCAAAGAGUAAGCACCGGCUAACUUCGUG
Molecule: ribosomal RNA, 492 nt
Filed under: uncultured bacterium
Lineage: Bacteria
Description: partial 16S ribosomal RNA
Rfam family: Bacterial small subunit ribosomal RNA
Source: RNAcentral